AUGGAUGGAUGGAUGGAUUUUAUGAGCGUCCCCUUGGAAAUGGGUUGUGGGUUGCGCCACCAAGCCCUUGUUAUUAUUUUGCCUAAUGUCCUACCUUUAUUUUUGAGAAACAUACAAUAAUUCCAAUUAACACCCUUUUUGAACCAUUACUGGGAACUUUGCUUCUGUACGUCUCCAUUACCAGGGUCCGUGAUGCCAGCGCCACAUGUGUGUAUCUCUGACACUAUUAUGAAUAAACCAGUCUUUGUUCGUCUACGAUACAUGUCUGACGCAGCGCAAUACGUGGUGCCGGGGUGUCAAAUGUGGGAUCAGCUAGGCCUAAAAUUUUCUUCGUCCCGAGUCCCGGGGAGGCAGUGUAUCUUUCGCUAAACAUGGAUAGACUGAAGGCUUCCGACCCGUUGCAUUUCGCCGGCAACACGGCAGAAAACUGGAGGUGUUUCAAGCAGCGACUCGAGAUAUUUAUGAUAGCGACUGAACCAUCGACCGAGCGCACUGAUAACAGGUUGCCCUGCUGCGUCACGUCACCGGUGAGCAAGCCGUCGAAGUUUACUACACCUUCCGUUUCGAAGAGGGGCCUUCAUAUGCUGAUGUGUUGGGGAAAUUUGAGGAACACUGCUCCCCGUUAAAGAAUGAAACGUACGAGAGGUACGUUUUUUGCAUCCGUGCGUUUGUGGCAUAGACACAUCGUCCAGGUGUCCAGGUAGUGCAACAGAGUGCCUAAUAUAUAUGUUUCAACGCGUAUUGGCACAUUCUAUUAUGCAAUGCCAACAACGCCAACGACACCGAAAGACAACGACGCCGAAGGGAGAUCAAGUCUGUGUCGCACGGGACCCUGCCUACCGUUCAUUUUGGAACGCCGAUGAGACUCAAAGACGACGCCUCCCGACCUCGCCUGCCUCGGUAGAGUGGAGGGUAGAGGAGGAGGAGAGCGCACUACGGGCGAGGAAGAAAUAGGCAACGCCAACGAGGAAUCCGGUCGUCCACAGUGAAGUGCUUGCCCCUCACUGGGAUCCCUUCGCCCUCCUAUACAGCUGAGCUGGUCGUGGCUGGCUCAGGGGCCCAGAAGCUGAGGGCACUAGUGGUGACGACCGAUGGAGUACUCAACAUUUGUACAAGUUGCAAGGAUGGGAGUGUUAAUGCCUUGGUGGCAGGAGGUUCAAGAGACCACUGCUUCAGCUGGUUCUGCACAGAUGAAGAUGGGGCCUUACCACUCGGAGUUGUCUCACUUCCUGCUCUGCUAGCCUCACUGGCAGCAGUUGUGGUCUGCAAUGACACCCAGGACAGCUUGCCAGUGUCUCCUGCACCAAUUUCCCAGAACUCAGCUGCACUCCUAGUCGACAGAUUGCAUGUGCUUUAGGACCAGCUGUUGUCCAGCUCCUGCCAGCUGCUACGUCAACUUAUAUGUCAAGUGAUACUGCAAGGGGUGUGUGUGUGGUUCGUCAUUGGCAUAUGUCCAGUGAUACGUCAACCGAUGCCAGUGUCAAGUAGUCUGACGACUGCCGUGCCACAACAGAAGUUACAGCCCUGGGCUUGCUCCGUUUGCCCCAGUCCUCACGACCCUUACUUGGACUCGGGCUGCUGCUGGCAGGAUGCGUAGCAGCAGUUUGGAACCUUGGGGUGGUCUAGUAAAUUGAUCGGGGCUGCUGACUUGCAAAGGAAUUGUCUGUUCUGUCAUGCUGACUUGCAAGGGGCGUGUGUGUUGUAUGGUCAUUGGCUACUAUGUCUGAAGACUGGCAGGUGGUUGAGCCUUUCCGAGACCACUUGUAUGAAUUCUGCACUGGCCUAGUGGAUGUAGUGCCAAAGCUUCUUUGCUGUGGUCUCAUAGCUCAUAGCCUGGUCGUCGCUUGUGGGGGUAGGCGGAGGGCUCUACCGUGUGCGCUUGGAUAGAUGUUGGUUUGGCCGGUACCCAGCAUUGUAUUGACCUGAAGGCCGCCGAUAAUGACUUUCGUAAGAAGGGUCUAGGUUUAGCAGACUUCUGGCCUCUGAUCAUCUGAGCGAGCCUUACCACGACAUGGUGUUCGUGUUAAGGCUUUUGAUCUAUUCUUAAGCUAGAUGGAGGCACGCGAACAAACUGUAAUAAGGGGCGAGUUCAUGUCAUUGAAAGAGCCACUAGUAACAGGAGUUCCGCAAGGAUCUGUAUUAGGGCCUUUAUUAAGCAUGAAAUGAUUUUAGCUCUUGUUGUCGGCAACCUUCAAUAGACCUUAGCCAAAAGACGGCUGUUAUCAGGCACUCAAACGAGAGCAUCCGGGCAACCACUCAAAAGUUAAGAAAAUUAGGUCUCUGGCCCCAACCUUUUGUACGGGACCGCAUAACAUAAUUUAGUUACUUCCUAAACAAGUUACAAGAAUAUUGCUUCCGAGUUCUUCCUAUUGUUUGUUCACAAUAUCACUGGAGCUGUAAAUUCUAGUGCGUUUUAUUUGUCAUUUCCAAUAGCGAUGUUCAAUUAUGUUCAAUUAUGUAUGCUGAUGAUACAUACAUUGUAUUAACAGCCAAAAAUCUUACAGAAUUGGAGGCAAAGUAUACGCUGAGCUAGACAGAAUUGGCAGAUGGUUUUCGACUAACAAGCUCAUUGUCGAUACUAGAAAAACAAAUUAUGUUGUGUUCCAUUCUCAAAAAAAAAAAUAAAAAAUCUGUAUAGCCACAGUGGAACUAUUAAUAACUGCCUUCUGGAGCCAACUAAUUCAUAAAGAUACCUUUGAGUAGUUUUUGAUAGGAAUAUGCACUGGCACGAGAUCAGGGCUGUUUGCACCAAAAUAGCAUGUGGAUGUUAUGCAUUGGUACAAACACGGAACAUUUUGAAAUCAAUAUAUUGCGCAUUGGUGUACUUUGCCUUAAUUUACAUCUACUUAUUACACUGUAUUGUAUACUGGCGAUGCACUUAUAAAAUUUAUAUUGAUCCGAUAAAAAUAUUUUUAAAACGCGCAGUUAGAAUAAUGACACAGUGUACCUUCACCGCUUGAAGCAAACAUUUGUUUUUUCAGAUCAGAAUUUUACCGUGUGAUCAGCUACGCGACUUACGGAUUGCAGAGUGUGUAUGUAACGUCGUAAUGUUUAGCCAUCCCUUUCCGGCUGCUCUGCUUCACACAUCAGCCCACCCCACUAGAAAUGUUACAUUAGGCAACUUUGAUCUUCCUCCUAGUAGCAAUAUUUAUGGUCAAACUGUACUAGAAUUUCUUGGUGUAAAAAUA
Molecule: long non-coding RNA, 3188 nt
Organism: Dermacentor silvarum
Lineage: Eukaryota; Metazoa; Arthropoda; Arachnida; Ixodida; Ixodidae
Exons: 4
Source: RefSeq, a predicted model, not a curated record